This 366-nucleotide ribosomal RNA is filed under the name Triticum aestivum (bread wheat). RNAcentral describes it as "partial small subunit ribosomal RNA". Lineage: Eukaryota; Viridiplantae; Streptophyta; Magnoliopsida; Poales; Poaceae. The record is from RNAcentral.
AUUCAAGAUUAUACUUGUGUUAUGUGUAAUAUGCAGGUCACUGAAGCACGAGAUCAUCUUUUCCUGCACUGUCCUUUUGCGCAACUAUGCUGGAAGUAUAUUUGUCCAGGCUGGUCUCCCACGCACCUUGGCAUCCAAGAGAUAAAUGCAUUGAAGCAAUUACUCAAUGUUCCGUUCUCUCUUGAGAUCAUCAUUCUUAUUUCCUGGGCGAUCUGGACAACGAGGAAUGAUUUCAUUUUCAAGAGGAUCCCACCAAGUGUGUAUCAUUGCAUGAGAAAAUUUAAAGAAGAACUCAAGUGGUUCAUCUACAGAGCGAAAAGACAGGAAUACAGCGGCUUUCAUGAUUGGGUGAAAGAUUUUCGCUAA